This 3335-nucleotide long non-coding RNA is filed under the name Gallus gallus (chicken). RNAcentral's name for it is "lncRNA (ENSGALG00010000413.1)". The record is from RNAcentral. Lineage: Eukaryota; Metazoa; Chordata; Aves; Galliformes; Phasianidae.
AAAUAACCCCAAAAUGGCCCAAAUGGCCCCAAAUAACCCCCAAAUAACCCCAAAAUUGCCCCAAAUAACCCCAAAAUUGCCCCAAAUGGUCCCAAAUAACCCCACCCCCCCCCCCCCCCCUGAAUAACCCCAAAAUUACCCCCAAAUGACCCCAAAAACAGCCCCAAAUAUUUCGGGUUCAUUUUGGAGCUUUUCUUUGAAAAUUGCACUUCUGUACAAACGGCGCUUUUACCGAUUUUGGGGUUUUUUGCCUUUUUUUUGGGGGGGGGGGGGGGGUUCAAUUUUUGGGGUGGAAAAUAAAGAAAUUGGGACCCAACGCUGCUGUGGUUUUGUGGGGAGAUCCCAUAAUCCGGGAUUAUGGUCCUUAAUCCGGGAUUAGAGAGCCUUAAUCUGGGAUUACAGCCCAUAAUAUGGGAUUAGAGACCCUUAAUAUGGGAUUACAGCCCAUAAUAUGGGAUUAGAGACCCUUAAUCUGGGAUUAGAGACCAUAAUAUGGGAUUAGAGAGCCUUAAUCUGGGAUUAGAGACCAUAAUAUGGGAUUAGGGACCCUUAAUCUGGGAUUACAGCCCAUAAUAUGGGAUUAGGGACCCUUAAUCUGGGAUUGCAGCCCAUAAUAUGGGAUUAGAGACCCUUAAUCUGGGAUUGCAGCCCAUAAUAUGGGAUUAGAGAGCCUUAAUCUGGGAUUGCAGCCCAUAAUAUGGGAUUAGAGAGCCUUAAUCUGGGAUUACAGCCUAUAAUAUGGGAUUAGGAACUCUUAACCUGGGAUUACAGACCAUAAUACGGGAUUAGAGAGCCUUAAUCUGGGAUUACAAUCCAUAAUGUGGGAUUAGAGAGCCUUAAUAUGGGAUUAGGGACCCUUAAUCUGGGAUUGCAGUCCAUAAUAUGGGAUUAAAGGCCCUUAGUACGGGAUUAGAGAGCCUUUAUCUGGGAUUACAGUCUAUAAUGUGGGAUUAGAGAGCCUUAAUAUGGGAUUAGAGGCCCAUAAUAUGGGAUUAGAGUCCCGUAAUCCUAUAUUACAGACCUACUAUGUAAGGAAACCCCAUAAUCUGGCAUUGCAAUCCCCUAAUCCCACAUUGAAGACCAAUAAUAUGGGGAUACACCCCAUAAUACAAGACUACAGUGCCGUAAUUCCUAAUGGGAGUCCCAGAACCCGAGAUUAGAGGCCCAUAAUCUGGGGGAAACCCCAUAAUCUGGGAUUGCGAUCCCCUAAUCCCAUAUUAGAGACCCAUAAUAUGGGAUUAGACCUCCAUAAUCUGGGAUGGGAGUCCCAAAAGAUGGGAUUAGAGGCCUAUAGAUUCAGAUUAGAGGCCCAUAAUCUCAGAUUAGGGAUCCACACUCCGAGGGAUCCCCAUAAUCCGGGAUUCAGUCUCAUAAUCCGGACGUAGUGUUUUAUAAUCCAGAUUUAGUGUGCCAUAAUCCAGGGAAUGCCAUAAUCUGGGGCUGAACCCCGAAAUCCAGGGAUGAAAUGACCAUAAUCCCAUGGGGGGGUCCCCCUAAUCUGCAUUUGGAGUCACAGAAACCAGGAGGACCCCGUAAUCUGGGAAUGGUGCACCCAUAAUCUGGGAUUGGAGCCCCACAGUCCAAAGGGGGGGGCUCGUAAUCCAGGAGGAUCCCAUAAUCCAGCUUUGUAGUGUUCAUAAUCCAGAGUGAGGCCCCAUAAUCCAGGGGCCUCUUCAUAAUCUGGGCUUGGGCUGCCCAUAAUCCGGGUGCAAAUACCCAUAAUCCGGGGGGGGGGGGGAUGCCCUUUAUCGAGAAGAUGGAUGGAUAAUCCAGGAGUAUCCUCAUAAUCCGGGUUGAGAUGCCCAUAAUCUGGGUUGGGGUGUCCAUAAUCCAGGGUGUGACCCCAUAAUCCGGAUUGGGGUGCCCAUAAUCCGGGUUGAGAUGCCCAUAAUCCGGGUUGGAGUGCCCAUAAUCCGGGUUGAGAUGCCCAUAAUCCGGGUUGGAGUGCCCAUAAUCCAGGGUGUGAGCCCAUAAUCUAAGUUGAGAUGCCCAUAAUCCGGGUUGGGGGGCCCAUAAUCCGGGUUGAGAUGCCCAUAAUCCGGGUUGGAGUGCUCAUAAUCCAGGGUGUGACCCCAUAAUCCGGAUUGGGGCGCCCAUAAUCCAGGGUGUGACCCCACAAUCCGGGAUGUGGGCCCAUAAUCCAGAGUGUGAUCCCAUAAUCCAGGUUGAGAUGCCCAUAAUCCAGGGUGUGACGCCAUAAUCCAGGUUGGGGUGCCCAUAAUCUGGGAUGUGGGUGCGUAAUCCAGAGCGUGAUCCCAUAAUCCAGCUUGAAAUGCCCAUAAUCCAGGUUGGAGUGCCCAUAAUCUGAGCUGUGAGCCCAUAAUCCGCGUUGAGGUGCCCAUAAUCCAGAGCAGGGACCCCAUAAUCCAGGAUUAGCUCCCCAUAAUCUGGCUGGAGGCCCCCCUACGGGAGGUGCUCGGCCCUAUGAGAUGACGGAGAGGUAACGGGGAGGGGGGGGGGUCAUCAGUGUGACCCCAUCCCGGGAUUAGGAUAUGUGGGAUUAGGGGAUUAUGGGAUUAUGGGGGGACGGCACUCACUCGGGGGGGGCAUCACAGCGGCUGCCGGAGCGCUCCCGGCCUGGGGGGGGCGUCCCGUGGUAAUCUGGGGGGGGUGAACGGGUCGUAAUCCUAAUCUGAAUCCCAUCAUUCCACUUAAUCCCAUAAUCCCGCCUAAGCACCCGGACUCAAAUAUCCCCAUAAUUCAUCUUAAUCCCACACUUCCAGCCCCAUGUAGCCCUCUAAUCCCAUCUCCCCACAUCCUACAACCCCAUAGCCCUAUAAUCCCACAACCCAACCACCCCAUAAACCCAUAAUCCCACAACCGAUGACCCCAUAAUCCCAUAAUCCCACCUCCCCACACCCCCAUAGUCUGCAUAAUACCACCCCCCACAUCCCAAAAACCCCAUAAUCUCAUAAUCCCACAGCCGAUAACCCCAUAAGCCCAUAAUCCCACCUCCCCACACCCCCGUAACCCGCAUAAUCCCACCCCCCACAUCCCAAACACCCCAUAACCUCAUAAUCCCACACCCCACGAUCCCCCAAAUCCCACCCCCUGCCCCCCGAACACCCCCAUAACCCACACAAUCCCACUCCCAGCAUCCCAAAGACCUCAUAACCCAAUAAUCUCACACGUCCUGCCCCAUAAUCCCGGCCUCCCUGCCCCAUAAUCCCAACUCCCACCCCCUAAUCACUCAUCCCCAUCACAUUAAUCCCCCCCUGCCCCAUAAUCCCGGCCUCCCUGCCCCGUAAUCCCAACUCCCACCCCCUAAUCCCUCAUCCCCAUCCCAUUAAUCCCCCCCUGCCCCAUAAUCCCGGCCUCCCUGCCCCAUAAUCCCA